RNAcentral lists this transfer RNA (76 nucleotides) under Chloroflexi bacterium CG07_land_8_20_14_0_80_51_10. Its description in RNAcentral is "tRNA-Ala". It matches the Rfam family "tRNA". Rfam says of the family: Transfer RNA (tRNA) molecules are approximately 80 nucleotides in length. The record is from RNAcentral. RNAcentral also lists the same sequence under 1 other name. Lineage: Bacteria; Bacillati; Chloroflexota.
GGGGCUGUAGCUCAAUUGGGAGAGCGUUUGACUGGCAGUCAAAAGGUCGGGGGUUCAAGUCCCCCCAGCUCCACCA